This is a long non-coding RNA of Conger conger (European conger), 3411 nucleotides long. RefSeq lists it as uncharacterized. The transcript is spliced from 3 exons. The record is from RefSeq and is a predicted model, not a curated record. NCBI's taxonomy places the organism in Eukaryota, Metazoa, Chordata, Actinopteri, Anguilliformes, Congridae.
GCCACCUACAGAUCCGGUUGGCACGCGUAUCAUUUGGUUCCCUUCAAGAAUUCAUUAGAAAUGGAAUAUUCCUCCCUGUCCUUCACAAAGUCCCAUCAUUUGGAUCGUUCUUAAUUAAUUUCCUUGAUGAUGACAUGUUGGAUAACAACCAACUGACUUUACAUCAAAAAGAGGAUAUAACCAGUUUGGAUAUGUCAAGGGGGGCAAGACUUAAGAUUUUUGCUCUUUUUUUAUGUGAAUAUGAUGAAGAUGCAACAAUAAAGCUAAAUCUGAAUCUGAAUCUGACAACGAUGAAGAACAACAACAACAAAAACAGGAACAAGCAUUGUUAUAUGAAUGGAAUCAAUGGCGAGGAACAUUCGCUGGGCAAGUGGAAGAUUAAUUGAGCCUGACCUGGCUGGUGAACUGCUGUCUCUAGUUUUUCUUCAGGAGUUGAGAACACAUGAUCAGCAGCAAGGGGCGAUACAAAUUACAAUAACAGUUACAUCCAAGAAGACACUGUUUCUAGCCUUCCAAGAAAUAUGCAACCUUCUUCAUUUUAAGGGUGCCAAUAAUUCUGGAGGCCACUGUAUUUUUGCUUUGAGAGAAUGCAUUUCUAAGUUGUAGCUAAACCAAAUAUGAAAGUGUGAAUAAGUCCCAGAAGUGAGUAAUUUGUGAAAGCAUAAUGGGCACCAUGUGAAGUCACCUCUGCUUAUUGAACCAGAAUGCAAAUCAUUUUCUUCUUUAACCACUCUAGAUGGAGAAUCAUAAUACAUGGUGGCAUUGAUGGAACAGCAGACAUGUAGUCUUCCUCCAGGCAGCUGGCAACAACUGCAGCAGCACAGUUCUGGCUAGUUUCACAGAUGCGAUUGAGAAACAUAGUGGCCUAUCAUGGGUGCACUGUGAUCUGAGGAGAGAGAAAAAUGCCGUCUGCCUCUUUAUGGAUGUGUUCUGGGGCUCAGCCAUGGGAAGGAGCACCCCCACAUAUAUGCCCAUUUCUCCUUUGACUGUUAUGCCAUUUGCUGCCGAGAUCUACACGUGUGUAUAUUUUGUUGGUCUGAGUAAAUUAAUCAAGCUUGAGCCAAUGACCUUUGUCUGGCUCAAGUUCUCCUCUUCUGAUUGGACACAGAUCCACACCAGCAAUUAUAUAAUGUAUAAUAUAAUUCUAUUUUUAGAACCUAAUUAAAACAUUGUCUUUACCAGCUAAAUGUUUUGAAGUGCACAUGCAAAGUGGAAAACAAAAAAUAAGAUUCAAACAUUAAAUCCCAUGUCUAUAAUCAAAUCUUAUUUUAUUCAUGAACGUGAGGAGAAGAAUAAAAAUAAGCAAUCCAAUAGGGCCUUUAAAUGCUGCCAAUGGUUAUGGUCCUUUGUUGACACACCACAGGCCAUAUACUCUUAAAAGAACAAAGAUAAUAUACACUUACACUCACUUUAUUAGGAACACUAUACUGAUACUGGGUAGGGCAUCUCUGCUCUUAAAACAGCUUCAAUUCUUCCUGGCAGGGAUUCCACAAGCUGUUGAAAACAUUCCUUUGACAUUCUGUUCCAUGUUGACAUGACUGUGUCAUGAUGGUGCAGUGGGUAGCACUGCCGCCUCACAGCAAGAAGGUCCCCGUCGGCCGGGGCCUCUCUGUGGGGAGUUUGCAUGUUCUCCCUGUGUCUGCGUGGGUUUCCGGGUACUCCUCCCACAGUCCAAAGACAUGCUGGUUAGGCUGAUUGGAGAGUCUAAAUUGCCCGUAGGUAUGAGUGUGUGAGUGAAUGGUGUGUGUGCCCUGCGAUGGACUGGCGACCUGUCCAGGGUGUAUUCCUGCCUUUCGCCCAAUGUAUGCUGGGAUAGGCUCCAGCCCCCCUGCGACCCUGUUCAGGAUAAGCGGGUUCAGAUAAUGGAUGGAUGGAUGGAUUAAGAGGCCGAUUGCCGGCAAUAUUAACCCAUUGAAUUGAAACCCAGCUGCAUCUGACAGAAGGUUGCGCUAAGCACCAUUAAAAAUGAAAACCACCAUUAGACACAUACAUUUUUUGUGUCUAAAGGCUUCCAGUUUUGCCGUGUUCACAAAGCAUUUUUUGCUGUGUUAACAGGUCAAAUUAUAACACGUGAAAAAUAAAUGUCUCAAGACGUCAAAUUACAACACAUCACAAUGACUGGGAUUAGACAUAUUUUGUAAGAUGCUUUGUAAGACGUUUUGGCACCUUUAGCGUUCUAUAAGCCUCUGCACGCAGACUCAUGCACCCACUGAAGUUCCACGACGGACACAAAAAAUUCUCAAAUGUAACACGUGACUGUUGUGGUGCCGUUAUCGGUUCCAUCAGAGUCCUAAUCUUAUUAUUGAUGGAACGCUCAGAGUUUAAAAGUAUAUCACAUUAAAAUUCCAGUUACGGACAAGUUUAGUCCACAACACAUUAAGGUUGAACUGAUAUAUUAAUCCACACUAUUCAUGUUGAUUUCCGGAAAUACAUUUAUUUGGUGGUAAUUUUAUGACACGGAUUACUUAUUGCAGUUAUGCUGCUACCCCUACUAAUUGGUGCCGUAUGUGAGUAUUAUUAAGACGGAUACAUUUUAAUUAUAAAUCCUCACAAUUUUACACAUUGUAGAGGUACAUCCCCUCCACAAGGCAUGCAUAGAUGCUGGAUUCAGUAUAGUUCUUCUCCUGCUCCCUCUAUGAAGAACUCCACCCCACAUGACGUCUAGCUUGUUUCAGCCAAUCCCGUAAUGGCGGGAGCAAUAAACUUUCCCGUAUAAGAGCAAGACAUGUUCUCGGGAUCGCUCUCUUUCUCUCUUUAUCCUCUUCUCUUCUUCCCACUUAUUUUCAACGCACCCUUUUUGGCUAUUUGCUUCAGCUCAUCUGCUCCGAGACUCGGACAGAGGCUGAAUGCUGCAUAGCACACUACCAGGCCUACGGACACACCCAGUUACUUUGCGGUAACUUAGUGGCCUGCAAAGCUCACCAACAGCAACAAACCUUUCCACCCGGAAAAAGGACCAGCGAACAUCCUUCCAGCAACCGAGUGGACUAGACGACAACGCGCGGCUAAGACGGGAACACCCCAGCCUGCACAUCUCUCCAGUACAUUCACAUUACCAUCGCCGCGUCUACAAGGACAGCACGUCUUUUGGAUCCAGCAAAGUGUAUGGACUCAGUAAGACAACAAACAUUCAGGCAUAGCCAGUGUUUAGUUUAGUCUGAACUGUUUUUGUGAAUCUGUGUUUCCAUAUUUGCCAUUUUAUCAUUGGAAAGUAAUUUGUUAGCUAUAUAUAUAUAUAUGUACGUGAAUUGAUUUGCCGUCUUUUGCGCAUAUAUAGAGUAAACUACGCAAGUAGUCUUCUCACAGCUAACAAUAACUAACACGCCCACUUUACUUUCCUUUGUUCAAGGGACACGCGCGCUUGAGCGCGCACACACACACCCUACUAAUUUCCCCUUCCCGUUAGCUUAU